Molecule: ribosomal RNA, 961 nt
Filed under: Holophagaceae bacterium UBA692
Lineage: Bacteria; Pseudomonadati; Acidobacteriota; Holophagae; Holophagales; Holophagaceae
Description: bacterial LSU rRNA
Rfam family: Bacterial large subunit ribosomal RNA
Source: RNAcentral
GGUAGCGAAAUUCCUUGUCGGGUAAGUUCCGACCUGCACGAAUGGCGUAACGAUCUGGAAACUGUCUCCAGCAGAGACUCAGCGAACUUGUAGCACCGGUGAAGAUGCCGGUUACCCGCACUUAGACGGAAAGACCCCGUGCACCUUUACUACAUCUUGACAUUGAGGUUGGCAUUGUGCUGUGCAGGAUAGGAAGGAGACUUUGAAACUGGCUCGUCAGGGUCGGUGGAGUCGUCGUUGAGAUACUUCCCUGCGCAAUGCUGAUCUCUAACUCGCGCCCGUCAUCCGGGUGGAAGACAGUGUCAGGCGGGUAGUUUGACUGGGGCGGUCGCCUCCUAAAGAGUAACGGAGGCGUGCAAAGGUUCCCUCAGGCUGUUUGGAAAUCAGCCGCAGAGCGCAAUGGUAUAAGGGAGCUUAACUGCGAGACACACACGUCGAGCAGAUGCGAAAGCAGGUCAUAGUGAUCCGGUGGUUCCGCAUGGAAGGGCCAUCGCUCAACGGAUAAAAGGUACGCCGGGGAUAACAGGCUGAUCUUGCCCAAGAGUUCAUAUCGACGGCAAGGUUUGGCACCUCGAUGUCGACUCAUCGCAUCCUGGGGCUGAAGCAGGUCCCAAGGGUUCGGCUGUUCGCCGAUCAAUAGCGGUACGUGAGUUGGGUUCAGAACGUCGCGAGACAGUUCGGUCCCUAUCUAGUGUGGGCGUAGGAGAUUUGAGAGGACCUGUCCUUAGUACGAGAGGACCGGGAUGGACUGACCUCUGGUGUUCCAGUUGUGUUUCCAAAUGCAAUGCUGGGUAGCUAUGUCGGGAAGUGAGAAGCGCUGAAAGCAUCUAAGCGCGAAACACCCCUCAAGAUGAGAUCUCCCCACGAGACCCGUCGUAGACCACGACGUUGAUAGGUCGCAUGUGUAAGCGCGGUAACGCGUUGAGCUGAGCGAUACUAAUGGGUCCACUGGCUUGACUUU